GGUCGUAGUGACUGCGGAGGAUCAUUA
RNAcentral lists this ribosomal RNA (27 nucleotides) under Stereocaulon nigrum. RNAcentral describes it as "partial 18S ribosomal RNA". The record is from RNAcentral. Lineage: Eukaryota; Fungi; Ascomycota; Lecanoromycetes; Lecanorales; Stereocaulaceae.